Molecule: microRNA precursor, 85 nt
Organism: Gorilla gorilla gorilla (western lowland gorilla)
Lineage: Eukaryota; Metazoa; Chordata; Mammalia; Primates; Hominidae
Source: Ensembl
UCUGAGGUACCCGGGGCAGAUUGGUGUAGGGUGCAAAGCCUGCCCGCCCCCUAAGCCUUCUGCCCCCAACUCCAGCCUGUCAGGA